AGCAAACAGGCUUAGAUACCCUGGUAGUCCACCCCGUAAACGUUGGGAACUAGUUGUGGGGUCCAUUCCACGGAUUCCGUGACGCAGCUAACGCAUUAAGUUCCCCGCCUGGGGAGUACGGCCGCAAGGCUAAAACUCAAAGGAAUUGACGGGGACCCGCACAAGCGGCGGAGCAUGCGGAUUAAUUCGAUGCAACGCGAAGAACCUUACCAAGGCUUGACAUAUACGAGAACGCUGCAGAAAUGUAGAACUCUUUGGACACUCGUAAACAGGUGGUGCAUGGUUGUCGUCAGCUCGUGUCGUGAGAUGUUGGGUUAAGUCCCGCAACGAGCGCAACCCUCGUUCUAUGUUGCCAGCACGUAAUGGUGGGAACUCAUGGGAUACUGCCGGGGUCAACUCGGAGGAAGGUGGGGAUGACGUCAAAUCAUCAUGCCCCUUAUGUCUUGGGCUUCACGCAUGCUACAAUGGCCGGUACAAAGGGCUGCAAUACCGUAAGGUGGAGCGAAUCCCAAAAAGCCGGUCCCAGUUCGGAUUGAGGUCUGCAACUCGACCUCAUGAAGUCGGAGUCGCUAGUAAUCGCAGAUCAGCAACGCUGCGGUGAAUACGUUCCCGGGUCUUGUACACACCGCCCGUCAAGUCAUGAAAGUCGGUAACACCUGAAGCCGGUGGCCCAACCC
Molecule: ribosomal RNA, 677 nt
Filed under: Microbacterium laevaniformans
Lineage: Bacteria; Bacillati; Actinomycetota; Actinomycetes; Micrococcales; Microbacteriaceae
Description: bacterial SSU rRNA
Rfam family: Bacterial small subunit ribosomal RNA
Source: RNAcentral